GACGAACGCUGGCGGCGUGCUUAACACAUGCAAGUCGAACGGGAGUAUUGAAGAAGCUUGCUUUAGAGAUACUUUAGUGGCGGACGGGUGAGUAACGCGUGAGGAGCUGUCCUAUGCAGGGGGACAACAGCUGGAAACGGCUGCUAAUACCCCAUAAGCCGAGAGGUAAAAGGAUCAAUCCGGCAGAGGAGGUACUCGCGUCCUAUCAGCUAGUAGGUGAGGUAACGGCUCACCUAGGCGAAGACGGGUAGCCGGCCUGAGAGGGCGAACGGCCACACUGGAACUGAGAUACGGUCCAGACUCCUACGGGAGGCAGCAGUGGGGAAUAUUGGGCAAUGGGGGAAACCCUGACCCAGCGACGCCGCGUGGGUGAAGAAAUCCUUCGGGAUGUAAAGCCCUGUUGUAUGGGAAGAGCGGAAGACGGUACCAUACGAGGAAGCCCCGGCAAACUACGUG
RNAcentral lists this ribosomal RNA (456 nucleotides) under uncultured bacterium. RNAcentral's name for it is "bacterial SSU rRNA". It matches the Rfam family "Bacterial small subunit ribosomal RNA", at positions 28 to 507 of the family's 1533-position model. The record is from RNAcentral.